CCUGCAAGAAAGAAUUGCAGUAUUGUCGGAAGAUAUACGUUUUUCCAACAAUAGGGAAACAGGUGCAAAUCCUGUGCAAUGCCGUUGCUGUAAGAGUGGAGCAUAUUUCAAUAAGCCACUGGGAAACCGGGAAGGCGAAAGUAUGCGGAGAAGCUCAAGCCAGAAUACCGGUUCUAACUGUUAUUUUCAU
RNAcentral lists this non-coding RNA (190 nucleotides) under Clostridium sp. Lineage: Bacteria; Bacillati; Bacillota; Clostridia; Eubacteriales; Clostridiaceae. The record is from RNAcentral.